This 477-nucleotide ribosomal RNA is filed under the name uncultured bacterium. Its description in RNAcentral is "bacterial SSU rRNA". It matches the Rfam family "Bacterial small subunit ribosomal RNA", at positions 28 to 509 of the family's 1533-position model. The record is from RNAcentral.
GAUGAACGCUAGCGGCAGGCUUAACACAUGCAAGUCGAGGGGUAUUGGUUUUCGGACCAAGAGACCGGCGCACGGGUGCGUAACGCGUAUGCAAUCUACCUUUUGCAGAGGGAUAGCCCCAGAGAAAUUUGGAUUAAUACCUCAUAGUAUAGUACUUUGGCAUCAAGGAACUAUUAAAGUCACAACGGCAAAGAUGAGCAUGCGUCCCAUUAGCUAGUUGGUAAGGUAACGGCUUACCAAGGCUACGAUGGGUAGGGGUCCUGAGAGGGAGAUCCCCACACUGGUACUGAGACACGGACCAGACUCCUACGGGAGGCAGCAGUGAGGAAUAUUGGACAAUGGGCGCAAGCCUGAUCCAGCCAUGCCGCGUGCAGGAUGACGGUCCUAUGGAUUGUAAACUGCUUUAUACAGGAAGAAACACUCCGACGUGUCGGAGCUUGACGGUACUGUAAGAAUAAGGAUCGCUAACUCCGUGCA